This 869-nucleotide small RNA is filed under the name Arabidopsis thaliana (thale cress). RNAcentral's name for it is "ATSL049560". The record is from RNAcentral. Lineage: Eukaryota; Viridiplantae; Streptophyta; Magnoliopsida; Brassicales; Brassicaceae.
UUUGCAAAUUUACUUUCCACCUCAAAAAAUGCAGAAUAAUCAUGUGAAAUCAAAAAUAUUACGCAAUAUAGCAUUUCUAAUAUAUUGUAAGCGUUUUCACGAUCACAUACAUUUGAUUUUUAAAAUUUUAAAGCUAUAGAGAAAUUCCUCUUCUCGAGGCUUUCGAUUUGAUAUAUUAUUUAUCAAAAUUUAAAAAAUUAACAAUAGUGAAAAAGGCAUUUCACUAUUACUUAUUAGGACUACAUGGAGUAAUAAUGAUUAAUUGUUUAAAAAUAAAAGCAAAACCGUUGUUGUCGGUGGAAUGGAUUUUGGGAUGAAAGGUUAUAAAGGUUACUGCAAUUGUCAUGUGGAGCUAUGUGACUUCUACUCUAUCAAAGGCAUGUUAAUGAUAGCUUGUAAAACAGAGAAAAUGACGAAAAUAGCGGUUACCGCAAUUGUCAUGUGGAGCUAUGUGACUUCUACUCGAUUAAUAUGGACUAUUGUUGAGUAAUGUAUGUUUUGUUACUAAAGCUACGGUAAAGAGAUUCAAGAAACUAAGCAGAAGAAUCGGAAGUUAAUUACAAUCUAAAGGAGUAGUGAAUUAAGUGCUUUUUGCUUUUGCUUAAAUCCUGGAGAAUCUAGAGUGAAUAGGUUUAUAAAAGUGUUGUCCUAUAGCAUGUAAGAAAAAUGACUUGUAGGUGUCAUAGAGCUAUGUUAUGCUUUUGUGUUGUGUUUUUGUUAUAAACGUGGAUAAGAGAAAUGAGUGAUGUAUGUUUUUAUGCUCUACUAAUGAAUAAUGUUAAGAAAAGAAUUCUCUCUUUCAAUUCUAGGUUAUAGAAAUAACAAAACUCAAAAUCACAACAACUAUAAAUACAAAGAAGAUACAAAAC